UCCAGAGAGCCUAACCCUUGGAAACAUGUAAGGUAUCAACCAACCUGAAAGGGACGAAUCUGGCGUUACAGCAAACUGCUUAAUUACCCUCUCAAAAAACUCCUACUGAUUCUCACGCCUAUGUGUGAGACUGCUGACCAAUUGAAAACUUUCAGCAACACAAGGCAAACCAUGACAAGAGUUUUAUAUGUAAACGAGUUAUUGCAAGUAAAAAAGCAAGACUGCAGGAACGAUGAUGUCGUUUGCGCUGAAUGAAUAUGCUGUACUCAUGGCAAAUGUAAGGCCACACGGGGUGGAAGGUUUAUAACGAGUGAUGGCCAUUUUCAACGAGUGAUGGCCACCCCGCCCAUAAACAUCAACGCGUUAUAUCAUCACGGCAGCGGAUUUUCGUUAUUUUUAUCACUCCGUUAUUCUUUUGGUUUGUGAGUGUAAUUGUUGGUUGGGGGGAAAUUGUUGGGUGUGGUGGUGAGUGAUGACCACCCCGCCUAAAAAAGGUUGUGAGUGAUGAAAAAAUGGUUGAUGACAUGACGGAACUUGAUUGGUGCUUGUGAGUGAUGGAUUCUAUCACUAGUGAACCACCCCGUGUCCCCUAAGGGAUUUUUGCAGAAAUAAUGCUUCUUUCAAAAACAAAAUCACAACUAAUGCCAUACUCAGAAUUAUUUCACAAUUAGGGUCAAUGCCAUUCAAAAUGGCGAAAUUUCAUGCACCCUAGGGUUGUGUCAGGAAUAUUUAAAUUGUGCAGGAGACAAAUCAUUUGAAAAGGUACCAUAGCCGUUUAUAAUGGGGAAAUCUGCAUGAUUCUGCACAUUAAGCCAUUCCAAAUGGCGAAAAGUUAAAAGUUCUGCACAUUAUGCCAUUGUUAAUAGCGUUUUUUUAAAAGCCUGCCAACAUGUCCUAUAAAGCUGAAAAGCCUGCACAAUAUGUCGUCGUUAAUGGCGAAUUUUUUAAAAGUCUGCACAAAAAGCCAUUCCAAAUGGCGAGAAGCUUGACCAACCAUCACUUGAAUUGCAGGCGGUUGAGGGGGUAGGAGCUCCAUCGUUUAAGUAUCGAGGAGCUGCACCAGCUGGAGAAGUCCCUUGAAGCUGGAUUGGGUCGGGUUGUUGCAAAAAAGUGAUGCAGUGAUCGAAUGAUCAAGCAGACAUAUGGAACUCCUACGUGGCAUGACAAAUUAAAUGCAUAUGUGUCACACCAAGUGGCUUUUGUAGCAACACUUGUGUGAUUUAUAAUGGUGUUUUCUGUAAAUUCCUAAAUGGAUAUCACUACAAAAAGCCACGUAGACUGACACCUGUACAUUCUGUCAUACGUUGCAUUCGCCUGAACUCGAAUUUGCUUGUAAAUUUUGUUUGGUUAUAUUUUUGUCAAAUCAGCGAACUGUUGACUAAAUGUUUAUU
Helianthus annuus (common sunflower) is the source of this 1391-nucleotide long non-coding RNA. RefSeq lists it as uncharacterized. The record is from RefSeq and is a predicted model, not a curated record. Lineage: Eukaryota; Viridiplantae; Streptophyta; Magnoliopsida; Asterales; Asteraceae. The transcript is spliced from 3 exons.